Molecule: ribosomal RNA, 609 nt
Filed under: uncultured bacterium
Lineage: Bacteria
Description: bacterial SSU rRNA
Rfam family: Bacterial small subunit ribosomal RNA
Source: RNAcentral
AUUGAACGCUGGCGGCAUGCCUAACACAUGCAAGUCGAACGGUAACAGACCUUCGGGUGCUGACGAGUGGCGGACGGGUGAGUAACGCGUGGGAAUCUGCCCACUAGUGGGGGACAACCCGGGGAAACCCGGGCUAAUACCGCAUAAUCCCUACGGGGGAAAGCGGGGGACCUUCGGGCCUCGCGCUAGUGGAUGAGCCCACGUCGAUUAGCUAGUUGGUAGGGUAACGGCCUACCAAGGCGACGAUCGGUAGCUGGUCUGAGAGGACGAUCAGCCACACUGGGACUGAGACACGGCCCAGACUCCUACGGGAGGCAGCAGUGGGGAAUUUUGGACAAUGGGCGCAAGCCUGAUCCAGCAAUGCCGCGUGGGUGAAGAAGGCCUGCGGGUUGUAAAGCCCUUUUAGUGGGGAAGAACGGCGGAGUGUGAAUAGCACUCUGAAAUGACGGUACCCACAGAAAAAGCACCGGCUAACUCCGUGCCAGCAGCCGCGGUAAUACGGAGGGUGCGAGCGUUAAUCGGAAUUACCGGGCGUAAAGCGCGCGUAGGCGGUUCAGUCAGUCUGCUGUGAAAGCCCCGGGCUCAACCUGGGAAUAGCAGUGGAUACUG